AUUGAACGCUGGCGGCAGGCCUAACACAUGCAAGUCGAACGAGCGGCGGACGGGUGAGUAAUGUCUGGGGAUCUGCCCGAUAGAGGGGGAUAACUACUGGACACGGUAGCUAAUACCGCAUACUAUCGGCUGUAACCAUAUGGGAUUAGCUAGUAGGUGGGGUAAAGGCUCACCUAGGCGACGAUCUCUAGCUGGUCUGAGAGGAUGACCAGCCACACUGGGACUGAGACAGGGCCCAGACUCCUACGGGAGUCAGCAUUGGGGAAUAUUGCACAAUGGGCGCAAGCCUGAUGCACCCAUGCCGAGUGUAUGAAGAAGGCCUGAGGGUUGUAAAGUACUUUCAGCGGGGAGGCGUUACCCGCAGAAGAAGCACCGGCUAACUCCGUGCCAGCAGCCGCGGUAAUUC
Molecule: ribosomal RNA, 406 nt
Filed under: uncultured bacterium
Lineage: Bacteria
Description: partial 16S ribosomal RNA
Rfam family: Bacterial small subunit ribosomal RNA
Source: RNAcentral